Long non-coding RNA from Penaeus indicus, 763 nucleotides. RefSeq lists it as uncharacterized. NCBI's taxonomy places the organism in Eukaryota, Metazoa, Arthropoda, Malacostraca, Decapoda, Penaeidae. The record is from RefSeq and is a predicted model, not a curated record. The transcript has 2 exons.
CAGGGUGAAGAGAUAACACUUCGUUUUCUGGAUUUCGAUCUGUAUCCGAAGAAAUGCAACGACUUAGUUGAGGUUCAGUCUUUGCGAGGUGGCAAUGACGUCUUUUGCGCAUCGAAAGUGGAUGGCAAAGUCAAGAAAUAUGAUGGGCCAAUUUAUAUCAAGUUCCGGUCUUCGAAACGGCGAGAGAAUGUGAAUAAAGGAUUUAACUGCAAAGUUACUAUCAAGUCUUCAAAGAAGAGUUUGCCAAAUAUUUUAUCAAAGUUUUAUGAAGAGUAAAAUAUCCUAAUUUUACUCUUUUUAAAACACAUUCCAAGGACUUCAAAUGACACACCCAAAAGUACUAGACACACUACGCCAUCAUGCAUUCACUAUUCAACAAUAAAUUAAACACUGAACAAAAUUACACUAAAUCAUGAAAAUAAAGGUGUAAUAUACAAGUACACAUAAAAUAAUAACAUGGCAAAAAAAUAAAAUAAAAUAGAGUAAUGUAAUUUAAUCAUAUUUAAUCAAAUAUUUACAAGCACUUUUUUCUUUAGUUUUUUUAACUCACAUUUGUUUUGAACGUGUUAGAGAAGUAUAAUCUCAUUGUGGAAAGAUAAAGCGUAUUAAUAUUUUGAGUGAACUGGCAACUUGCUUUAGGACGUACUGUUUAUCCUGAAUUCAUUGGAAUGAUGCAGCCCCCAUCUCUGUGUAACUAGCAAUGGCACAUACUUGGAACAUUGUAAACAAAGUGAAAACAAUAAAAUUUCUAAAUUGGCCGUAA